GGGCUGGGGCUCAGUGGUAGAGCGUGCUUGCCUCACAUGCAUGAGGCCCUGGGUUCGAUCCUCAGCACCACA
RNAcentral lists this transfer RNA (72 nucleotides) under Marmota monax (woodchuck). Its description in RNAcentral is "tRNA.Val". The record is from RNAcentral. Lineage: Eukaryota; Metazoa; Chordata; Mammalia; Rodentia; Sciuridae.